This 501-nucleotide ribosomal RNA is filed under the name Nemorimyza posticata. Its description in RNAcentral is "partial 12S ribosomal RNA". Lineage: Eukaryota; Metazoa; Arthropoda; Insecta; Diptera; Agromyzidae. The record is from RNAcentral.
GUUAUACAAAUAAUGCAAAUAAAUUUUAUUAGUUUAAGUAAAAUUUAAAUUNAAAAAAUAAAAANUAAUUUUAUUAGGUGAAAUUUUAAAAUUAUUUAAUUUUUAUUUUGAAUAAUUGAUUCUUAAAAAUUUUAUAUAAAAACUAGGAUUAGAUACCCUAUUAUUUAAAAUAUAUUUAUUUAUACUAAAGUAGUAUUAGUUAUGUUCUUGAAAUUUAAAAAAUUUGGCGGUAUUUUAGUCUAUUUAGAGGAAUCUGUUCUGUAAUCGAUAAUCCACGAUGGACCUUACUUAUAUUUGUAUUCAGUUUAUAUACCGUCGUUAUAAGAAUAUUUUUUAAAAAUAAUAAUUUUCAAUAAUUUUUAUAAAAAUUUAUAUCAGAUCAANGGUGUAGCUUAUAUAUAAGUAGUUAUGGAUUACAAUAAAUUUAUUUAUGGAUUUAUAAAUGAAAAUUUAUAAUAAAAUUGGAUUUAAAUGUAAAAUUAUAUAGAUUAAUAAUUUGAU